Molecule: transfer RNA, 86 nt
Filed under: Planctomycetota bacterium
Lineage: Bacteria; Pseudomonadati; Planctomycetota
Description: Planctomycetes bacterium (bioreactor metagenome) tRNA-Leu
Rfam family: tRNA
About the family: Transfer RNA (tRNA) molecules are approximately 80 nucleotides in length. Their secondary structure includes four short double-helical elements and three loops (D, anti-codon, and T loops). Further hydrogen bonds mediate the characteristic L-shaped molecular structure. tRNAs have two regions of fundamental functional importance: the anti-codon, which is responsible for specific mRNA codon recognition, and the 3' end, to which the tRNAs corresponding amino acid is attached (by aminoacyl-tRNA synthetases). tRNAs cope with the degeneracy of the genetic code in two manners: having more than one tRNA (with a specific anti-codon) for a particular amino acid; and 'wobble' base-pairing, i.e. permitting non-standard base-pairing at the 3rd anti-codon position.
Source: RNAcentral
GGAGGCGUGGCGGAAUCGGCAGACGCAGCGGACUUAAAAUCCGCGGGGCCUCACGGCUCAUGGGGGUUCGAGUCCCCCCGCCUCUA